RNAcentral lists this ribosomal RNA (253 nucleotides) under uncultured bacterium. RNAcentral describes it as "partial 16S ribosomal RNA". It matches the Rfam family "Bacterial small subunit ribosomal RNA", at positions 524 to 776 of the family's 1533-position model. The record is from RNAcentral.
UACGGAGGGUGCAAGCGUUAUCCGGAUUCACUGGGUUUAAAGGGUGCGUAGGCGGGCUGUUAAGUCAGUGGUGAAAUCUCCGGGCUCAACCCGGAAACUGCCGUUGAUACUAAUGGUCUUGAAUACCGUUGAGGUGAGCGGAAUAUGUCAUGUAGCGGUGAAAUGCUUAGAUAUGACAUAGAACACCGAUUGCGAAGGCAGCUCACUAAGCGGUGAUUGACGCUGAGGCACGAAAGCGUGGGGAUCAAACAGG